RNAcentral lists this ribosomal RNA (470 nucleotides) under uncultured bacterium. Its description in RNAcentral is "bacterial SSU rRNA". It matches the Rfam family "Bacterial small subunit ribosomal RNA", at positions 28 to 490 of the family's 1533-position model. The record is from RNAcentral.
GAUGAACGCUGGCGGCGUGCUUAACACAUGCAAGUCGAACGAGAAUCUGCGGAUAGAGGAUUCGUCCAAUUGAAGCAGAGGAAAGUGGCGGACGGGUGAGUAACGCGUGAGGAACCUGCCUAGGAGUGGGGAAUAACAGUCCGAAAGGACUGCUAAUACCGCAUAAUGCAGUUGGGUCGCAUGACUCUGACUGCCAAAGAUUUAUCGCUCUUAGAUGGCCUCGCGUCUGAUUAGCUAGUUGGUAGGGUAACGGCCUACCAAGGCGACGAUCAGUAGCCGGACUGAGAGGUUGGCCGGCCACAUUGGGACUGAGACACGGCCCAGACUCCUACGGGAGGCAGCAGUGGGGAAUAUUGGGCAAUGGGCGCAAGCCUGACCCAGCAACGCCGCGUGAAGGAAGAAGGCUUUCGGGUUGUAAACUUCUUUUAUUCAAGGGACGAAAACAAAAUAGACGGUACCUGAUGAAUAAG